This 478-nucleotide ribosomal RNA is filed under the name uncultured bacterium. Its description in RNAcentral is "bacterial SSU rRNA". It matches the Rfam family "Bacterial small subunit ribosomal RNA", at positions 501 to 981 of the family's 1533-position model. The record is from RNAcentral.
CUACGUGCCAGCAGCCGCGGUAAUACGGAGGAUGCGAGCGUUAUCCGGAUUUAUUGGGUUUAAAGGGUGCGUAGGCGGCCUGUUAAGUCAGCGGUGAAAUCUAGGAGCUUAACUCCUAAAUUGCCAUUGAUACUGGCGGGCUUGAGUGUAGAUGAGGUAGGCGGAAUGCGUGGUGUAGCGGUGGAAUGCAUAGAUAUCACGCAGAACUCCAAUUGCGAAGGCAGCUUACUAAGGUACAACUGACGCUGAAGCACGAAAGCGUGGGUAUCAAACAGGAUUAGAUACCCUGGUAGUCCACGCAGUAAACGAUGAUAACUGGGCGUAUGCGAUAUACAGUAUGCUCCUAAGCGAAAGCGUUAAGUUAUCCACCUGGGGAGUACGCCGGCAACGGUGAAACUCAAAGGAAUUGACGGGGGCCCGCACAAGCGGAGGAACAUGUGGUUUAAUUCGAUGAUACGCGAGGAACCUUACCCGGGAU